AAAAAGAUAAAAAAAAAAUAAAAAGAUAGAAAGAUAGAAGGAUAGAAAGAUAGAAAGAUAAAAAGAUAGGAAGAGAAAAAAAUCAAAAAUAAAAAGAUAUAAAGAUAGAAAGAUAGAAAGAUAAAAUGAUAAAAAGAUAAAAAGAUAGAAAGAUAAAAAAAUUAAAAAGCCAACACAAAAUUGAAGAGAUGGAAAGAUAAAAAGAUAAAAAGAUAAAAAGUCUAAUCGGUUAAGAAUCA
RNAcentral lists this long non-coding RNA (239 nucleotides) under Vigna radiata. Its description in RNAcentral is "long non-coding RNA (VRAD_LNC000602)". Lineage: Eukaryota; Viridiplantae; Streptophyta; Magnoliopsida; Fabales; Fabaceae. The record is from RNAcentral.